AGAUUGAACGCUGGCGGCAUGCCUUACACAUGCAAGUCGAACGGCAGCACGGGAGCAAUCCUGGUGGCGAGUGGCGAACGGGUGAGUAAUACAUCGGAACGUGCCCAAUCGUGGGGGAUAACGCAGCGAAAGCUGUGCCAAUACCGCAUAAGAUCUACGGAUGAAAGCAGGGGAUCGCAAGACCUUGCGCGAAUGGAGCGGCCGAUGGCAGAUUAGGUAGUUGGUGAGGUAAAGGCUCACCAAGCCUUCGAUCUGUAGCUGGUCUGAGAGGACGACCAGCCACACUGGGACUGAGACACGGCCCAGACUCCUACGGGAGGCAGCAGGUGGGGAAUUUGGACAAGUGGGACGAAGCCUGAUCCAGCCAGU
Molecule: ribosomal RNA, 369 nt
Filed under: uncultured soil bacterium
Lineage: Bacteria
Description: bacterial SSU rRNA
Rfam family: Bacterial small subunit ribosomal RNA
Source: RNAcentral